GAUGAACGCUGGCGGCGUGCCUAAUACAUGCAAGUCGAGCGAACGGACGAGACGCUUGCUUCUCUGAUGUUAGCGGCGGGCGUGUGAGUAACACGUGUAUAACCUACCUAUAAGACGGGGAUAAUUUCGGGAAACGGGCUCUAAUACGGGAGAAUAUUCUGAACCGCAGUGUUCAAAAGUGAGAGACGGUCUUGGUGUCACUUCUAGCUGGAUCUGCGCUGCAUUAGCUGGUUGGUAAGGUAACGGCCUAUCAAGGCAAGGAUGCAUAGCCGAACUGAGAGGGUGAUAGGCCACAUGGGAACUGAGCCACGGUCCUGACGCCUGCGGGAGGCAGCAGUAGGCAAUCUUCCGCAGUGGGCGAGAACCUUACGGAGCAACGCCGCGUGAGUGAUGAAGGUCUUCGGAUCGUGAUACUGUGUUAUUAGGGAAGAACAUAUGUGGAAGUAACUGUGGACAGCUUGACGGUACCUAAUCAGAAAGCCACGGCUAACUACGUG
Molecule: ribosomal RNA, 497 nt
Filed under: uncultured bacterium
Lineage: Bacteria
Description: partial 16S ribosomal RNA
Rfam family: Bacterial small subunit ribosomal RNA
Source: RNAcentral